Molecule: transfer RNA, 73 nt
Filed under: Canis lupus familiaris (dog)
Lineage: Eukaryota; Metazoa; Chordata; Mammalia; Carnivora; Canidae
Also listed under: 5 other names
Rfam family: tRNA
About the family: Transfer RNA (tRNA) molecules are approximately 80 nucleotides in length. Their secondary structure includes four short double-helical elements and three loops (D, anti-codon, and T loops). Further hydrogen bonds mediate the characteristic L-shaped molecular structure. tRNAs have two regions of fundamental functional importance: the anti-codon, which is responsible for specific mRNA codon recognition, and the 3' end, to which the tRNAs corresponding amino acid is attached (by aminoacyl-tRNA synthetases). tRNAs cope with the degeneracy of the genetic code in two manners: having more than one tRNA (with a specific anti-codon) for a particular amino acid; and 'wobble' base-pairing, i.e. permitting non-standard base-pairing at the 3rd anti-codon position.
Source: Rfam by way of RNAcentral
GCCUGGCUGGCUCAGUUGGUAGAGCAUGUGACUCUUGAUCUUGGGGUCAUGAGUUCAAGCCCCAUGUUGGGUG